Molecule: ribosomal RNA, 442 nt
Filed under: uncultured bacterium
Lineage: Bacteria
Description: partial 16S ribosomal RNA
Rfam family: Bacterial small subunit ribosomal RNA
Source: RNAcentral
CCUACGGGUGGCAGCAGUGGGGAAUAUUGGGCAAUGGGCGCAAGCCUGACCCAGCAACGCCGCGUGAAGGAAGAAGGCUUUCGGGUUGUAAACUUCUUUUAAGAGGGAAGAGCAGAAGACGGUACCUCUUGAAUAAGCCACGGCUAACUACGUGCCCACAGCCGCGGGAAUACGUAGGUGGCCAGCGUUGUCCGGAUUUACUGGGUGGAAAGGGCGUGCAGCCGGGAAGAAAAGUCAGAGGUGAAAUCCCGGGGCUUAACCGCAGAACUGCAUUUGAGACUGUUUUUCUUGAGUACCGGAGAGGUCAGCGGAAGUCCUGGUGUAGCGGUGAAAGGCGUAGAUAUAAGGAAGAACACCAGUGGCGAAGGCGGAUGACUGGACGGCAACUGACGGUGAGGCACGAAAGCGUGGGGAGCGAACAGGAUUAGAUACCCGUGUAGUC